AGAGUUUGAUUCUGGCUCAGAACGAACGCUGGCGGCAGGCCUAAUACAUGCAAGUCGAACGCUCGUAGCAAUACGAGAGUGGCAGACGGGUGAGUAACACGUGGGAACCUUCCCUUUGGUUCGGAAUAGCUCAGGGAAACUUGAGGUAAUACCGGAUAAGCCCUUCGGGGGAAAGAUUUAUCGCCAUUGGAUGGGCCCGCGUCGGAUUAGCUAGUUGGUGAGGUAACGGCUCACCAAGGCGACGAUCCGUAGCUGGUCUGAGAGGAUGAUCAGCCACACUGGGACUGAGACACGGCCCAGACUCCUACGGGAGGCAGCAGUAGGGAAUAUUGGACAAUGGGCGCAAGCCUGAUCCAGCCAUGCCGCGUGAGUGACGAAGGCCUUCGGGUUGUAAAGCUCUUUUGGCGGGGACGAUAAUGACGGUACCCGCAGAAUAAGCUCCGGCUAACUUCGUGCCAGCAGCCGCGGUAAU
Molecule: ribosomal RNA, 472 nt
Filed under: uncultured Alphaproteobacteria bacterium
Lineage: Bacteria; Pseudomonadati; Pseudomonadota; Alphaproteobacteria
Description: bacterial SSU rRNA
Rfam family: Bacterial small subunit ribosomal RNA
Source: RNAcentral